UGGGGAAUUUUCCGCAAUGGGCGAAAGCCUGACGGAGCCAGACCGCGUGAGGGAAGAAAGUCUUUGGAUCGUAAACCUCUUUUCUCAAGGAAGAAUGAUGACGGUACUUGAGGAAUCAGCAUCGGCUAACUCCGUGCCAGCAGCCGCGGUAAGACGGAGGAUGCAAGCGUUAUCCGGAAUUAUUGGGCGUAAAGCGUCCGCAGGUGGUGCUUCAAGUCUGCUGUCAAAGACCGGAGCUCAACUCCGGAGAGGCAGUGGAAACUGAAGGACUAGAGUGUGGUAGGGGUAGAGGGAAUUCCCAGUGUAGCGGUGAAAUGCGUAGAGAUUGGGAAGAACACCGGUGGCGAAAGCGCUCUACUGGACCACAACUGACACUCAGAGGACGAAAGCUAGGGGAGCGAAAGGGAUUAGAUACCCCCGUAGUCC
This 426-nucleotide ribosomal RNA is filed under the name uncultured prokaryote. Its description in RNAcentral is "bacterial SSU rRNA". It matches the Rfam family "Bacterial small subunit ribosomal RNA", at positions 355 to 796 of the family's 1533-position model. The record is from RNAcentral.